This 253-nucleotide ribosomal RNA is filed under the name uncultured bacterium. RNAcentral describes it as "partial 16S ribosomal RNA". It matches the Rfam family "Bacterial small subunit ribosomal RNA", at positions 524 to 776 of the family's 1533-position model. The record is from RNAcentral.
UACGGAGGGAGCUAGCGUUGUUCGGAAUUAUUGGGCGUAAAGCGCACGUAGGCGGCUUUGCAAGUCGGAUGUGAAAUCCCUCGGCUCAACCAAGGAAGUGCAUCCGAAACUGCAGAGCUUGAGUACCAAAGAGGAUCGCGGAAUUCCCGGUGUAGAGGUGAAAUUCGUAGAUAUCGGGAGGAACACCAGUGGCGAAGGCGGCGAUCUGGGUGGAUACUGACGCUGAGGUGCGAAAGCGUGGGGAGCAAACAGG